GAUGAACGCUGGCGGCGUGCCUAAUACAUGCAAGUCGAGCGAACAGACGAGGAGCUUGCUCCUCUGACGUUAGCGGCGGACGGGUGAGUAACACGUGGAUAACCUACCUAUAAGACUGGGAUAACUUCGGGAAACCGGAGCUAAUACCGGAUAAUAUAUUGAACCGCAUGGUUCAAUAGUGAAAGACGGUUUUGCUGUCACUUAUAGAUGGAUCCGCGCCGCAUUAGCUAGUUGGUAAGGUAACGGCUUACCAAGGCAACGAUGCGUAGCCGACCUGAGAGGGUGAUCGGCCACACUGGAACUGAGACACGGUCCAGACGCCUACGGGAGGCAGCAGUAGGGAAUCUUACGCAAUGGGCGAAAGCCUGACGGAGCAACGCCGCGUGAGUGAUGAAGGUCUUCGGAUCGUAAAACUCUGUUAUGAGGGAAGAACAGAUGUGUAAGUAACUAUGCACGUCUUGACGGUACCUAAUCAGAAAGCCACGGCUAACUACGUG
This 497-nucleotide ribosomal RNA is filed under the name uncultured bacterium. RNAcentral describes it as "partial 16S ribosomal RNA". It matches the Rfam family "Bacterial small subunit ribosomal RNA", at positions 28 to 507 of the family's 1533-position model. The record is from RNAcentral.